UGUGCAAAGGUCGACCUCAUGAGUCGACCUCCUGUGAUGAAAACUUCCGUAACGGUUAGUUUUCAAUUCUUUUUGACAGUAUUUAAUGCUCUUUUAAUGAUCUUCAAUGGCUCUAUUUCAGUCCAAAUUUCUCUCUACCAUCUAUUGAAGCUAUAAAGGCACUUAAAGGAGGAAAAAAGAAGCAAGUUUUGAAGAGACUCAAGCAUUUAUUUCAGCCCUGAGCAAAAAGAUCUCUUCAAGAAAAAGAAGCUUUCAAUUCAAGUUCACCAACC
Molecule: long non-coding RNA, 272 nt
Filed under: Elaeis guineensis (African oil palm)
Lineage: Eukaryota; Viridiplantae; Streptophyta; Magnoliopsida; Arecales; Arecaceae
Description: long non-coding RNA (EGUI_LNC080624)
Source: RNAcentral